UCCCAAGAACACCACCCCUACUGUGAAGCAUGGGGGUCAUAGCAUAAUGCUUUAGGGGUGUUUUUCUCCACAUGGGACAGGACGACCGCACUGUAUUAAGGAGUGGAUGACCGCGGCCAUGUUUUGUGAGAUUUUGGAGAACAACCUCUUUCCCUCAGUCAGAGCAUUGAAGAUGUGUCGUGGCUAGGUCUUUCAAGGUUCUGGCGUCGCCUAGCCAGUCUCCAGACCAAAACCCAAUAGAAAAUCUUGGAGGGAGCUGAAACUCUGUUUCUCAGCGACUGCCCAGAAACCUGUCUGAUCUAGAGAAGAUUUGUGUGUAUUAGUGGGCCAAAAUCCCUCCUGCAGUGUGUGCAAACCUGGUGAACUACAUGAAACAUUUGACCUCUGUAAUUGCAAACAAAGGCUAAUUUACCAAAUAUUAACAUUGGUUUUCUCAGGUGUUCAAAUACUUAUUUGCAGCUGUAUCACACAAAUAAAUUGGUAAAAAAAAAAUCAUAGAUUGUGAUUUCUGCAUUUCAGCCUCACCACUUGAUCUGAUACACUUUUCACCUCCAAGACAGUCUUAGCCAGCUUUUCCAUUAAAAGAACCCUGACUCCAUUUAUCUUCCCAUCUACUCCAUGGUACAAUAAUUUAAACCCUGCUUCGAAAAUCUAGGCUUCCUACCUUUCCACCUGCUCUCUUGGAUGCACAAUAUAUCAACCUUUCUCCUAAUCAUUAUGGCAACCAACUCCUGAGGUUUUCCUGUCAUAGUUCCAACAUUCAAAGUCCCUACCCUUAGUUGUCGGCUCUGUGCAUUCCUCUUCUUCUGCCAAUGAAUCCACUUUCCUCCUCUUCUUUGCCCUCAACCCACAGUAGGUGAAUUUCCACCGAUGCCCUGCAGGUAACCGGUGCCAGGGCGGGCGUUGUUAACACGGGCCACGACCAAUCCAGUAUGGUACUCUUUCGAUGAACACUCAAGUUCAUUUGGCACAAUUUUAUGCCGGAUGCCCUUCCUGACGCAACCCUCUGCAAUUAUUUGGGCUUGGGACCGGCCUACAGAUUCCACUAGCUUGUGCCCCAUUCAUUAUCAUCAUUACAACUAUGACUUAAAAUAUGUUUGCCCGGCUCACUGUCAGCACUGUGUGAAAAGUCGAUGACAAGCAGAUUUGCAGUCUUCCAAGAAAGCAUCCAAGGCAUUAAGAAAGGUGGAAAGGCACCAGUGUGUAAGGGGGUGUUUAAGUUAACACGUUGUGAUGAUUUCUCUAAUCAUAUCUAAUCAUCUCAGUGAGCACUGCCACAGCAGCUGUGUGACCAAACACUGGACAUGGGUUGGACUGACAAUCAGCCAUUACCCCAGUGGGCUGGCCUGUGGAACCGAUACAAUGUUGCUGAUUCACCCAUCCCCACCACCUCGACCAAUUACAGUGGUACCUCUAUUUCCAAAAUGAGUCAUCUCAUCUCCAAGCUGUAAAUGCUUAGAGGUCAGAACAGCACAGUCAUGGUGAACUAAAAACGAAGUGGUCAGACUAAGGUGGAUGUGAAGCAGAAGACAGGUGCCCACUCCCAAAGUGUGGCCAAUACGGUGGAAAGAACCAGUGCCGAGGGCUUCCCCCUGUUCGAGGAGAGAAUCUCUGCAAUCAUGGGUGACACGACUCUCAAAUGGCUGAUUCUGAUUACCCCAAGACACGGAGAAUUCACCCCCCGUUCCUGGCAUCUGCUUCAGCAUCGCCAGCGUCUUCGACGCAAUUACAGUUCAACAACCAGCUGUUGCUGCCCGCUCAACUGAACGUGACCUCACCCAUGCUGUGCUGGGGUCACAAAAGGACAUCAUGAAGGGCGAGCCACUUAUCCUAAGGAGGGUCACGGGAGUGCUGCAGCCUAUUCCAGUUAUCAUCGGGCAGGAGGCAGGAUACACCCUGAACUGAUUGGCAGCCAAUGGCAGGGGACAUGGAAACCGACAACAGUCGCACUCACAAUCACACCUAGCAGCAAUUAUUAAUUAAUUAUUAUUAGUUAUUAAUGAUUUGCCUGCACUGUCAGUGUGUGGAGGAAUGUAAGCUUCGGUUUAGAUAUGUAAAAUUUCAAUUGCCUCUUGAGGAACAUCAUUUUGUAGCUUUCAUGCAUACUGAAACACGUUAGCAUGCUAACAAUCUAAUGUGAUGUGUUUGGUUGUACUUCAUUGGAGACAUCACACAACAACAUUUAUGUAGACUUUGGUACUUGGUGUGCAUAUCAGGUGUGGGUUAUCAGGCACCCCAUUUAUCUAGGAGGAAAUUUAAGACAAGUACACUUCAGGGUUGUGAAAAUACAGUACAGUAAGGGCUAAAAAUUUUGCAAAAUCCACAAGUAUGCGGGACUGCGAACAGUGAACUGUGAAUGGAUGAGGGUAUAUUGUACUUGUAAAUUAUGUUUCUGUCAAAAGCACUUUCUCAGCAUUGUUCGAUGUUGAGAUAGUUGAGAUUUUCAUCAAGGAAAAAAAUACUGGUGUCAAAGUAAUUGUUCUGUUUGCUUUCACAAAAUGGCUGUCUUCUUGUUUUUUUUUCCCUCUAGAAACAGAUUUGGCUGAAAGUAGCCGACAGUAUUUGACUGCUGAUUACUAAGGAACAGUAUAAGAUAAACAACGGUGAUCUUUUUUUUGAUGCAUUUGCUUUUUUUACACAUUCAUCAUACACAUUUUGUGGGACAUGAAAAAGAUUAAUGCAAUCCCUCAAAAAUGCCUUUCAGCCUGUAAAUACUACCCUUGGAUGAAAUUUUUCAAAACUUUCAUUUUGACUAUCAGAGGUAUGUAGAUGACUGCAGUUCAAUUGAGGUGUUGUGUCAUUGUCGAUAAACAAGAUAAAUGAGCCAAAAUUUUCUUCAA
Molecule: long non-coding RNA, 2840 nt
Organism: Syngnathoides biaculeatus (alligator pipefish)
Lineage: Eukaryota; Metazoa; Chordata; Actinopteri; Syngnathiformes; Syngnathidae
Exons: 5
Source: RefSeq, a predicted model, not a curated record